CCAGCGUUCCCCACCACCGAAACCCUCGAUUCCCCACCACCGGAACCCUCGAUUCGCCGUCGCCGGCGAGCAGCCAUGGAUGACGCUGACCCUGAGGAGCCGUCGGCCACCAUCCCCGCCCUCCCCGCUGACCUGAUUGUGGAGGAGAUCCUGGUACGGCUUCCGCCCAAGGUGGUCUUGCGCUUCCGCGCGGCCUGCCGCGCAUGGCGCAGCGACACCUCCACGCCAACGUUUCUCCGCUCCAACUACGACCACCAGGUCCCCCUUCCCCUCGUCUUCUUCUCCAACUGCACCAAGGACCCUGAUACCCUCGACACCAUCCAUGUCCUCGCGGCCGCGGGGGCCGAGUACCGGCGGACCCUCCUCGCGUUCGGUUGCGGUACGCUUCACGCCUCUUGUGAAGGCCUCCUUCUCAUCUCCCACGAAAACGCCCGCUACACCAUCUACAACCCAGCCACGCAGCAGGGUCUCAGUCUUCGGGAGCUCACCAGCGCUCGAUAUGCUUUGCUCUACUCCUCACGCUCUUCCGAUGGCGGCGUAGAGUACCGCAUUCUGUUCCGCAAAGGAAGACCUGCCAUGUACCACGUCCUCACGGUGGGCUCUCCUGCACCGCCCAGGCGUAUCCACCUGCCCCAGGGCCCCAAGGAUUUCACCGAGCUGAUAGCUGCAGGGUACCCUUCCUUCCAAUCCCCAUCGAUUCAGUUCAAUGACGCAUUGCACUGGUUAAUGGACAAGAGUCUGGUUGUUUUCGACAAGGUAGUGGAAUCAUUCAGAUCCAUGAGAUGUCCUAGUGCCCUUCCAGAUGCACGCUUGUUUGAGAUCGAUGGCACUUUUGGCAUGAGCGUGCGGGGUGCAAAAGACACAGCAGUGAGUGUCUGGGUAUUGCAGGAUUACCAGGCCGAGGCGUGGACACUCAGGUAUUCUAUCGACUUGGCAAUGGUGGACAGACUUAGAGUAAAGUAUGACUCACGGCACAUGGUGCUGUCCAACGAUGGCCACCUGCUAGUUUCUUCCGGUGCGGGUUCUACUGCCCUUAUUCUGUGUGACGCUCAGGGUACUUUGAUCAAGGAUUUCUCAGUCAAUUCAUGGAACCCAAAAUUCACGGGGCUCUGGUAUAAAGAAAGUAUUGUCAGACAUUCUUUCUUUGAGAGUAAGGGCAAACGUCGCAGGCCGCAGUCAUCUUUAUUCAAAAGGCUCCGAAAAGGUAAUCCAAAUUUCUUGCUACAUACAUAUCUGUGGCUAAUCUCAAUCAUUGGGUGAUUCAUACUUCAAUUCAUAGGUGGGUUCACCUAUCUAGUUAGACCAAAAUAUUCCAUUGUUAGGUGGUGAAACUAGUAUAGCCAGUCAAAGCAGUUGGUCCCUAUAAGUCUGGUUAUCAUUUACUUGUUAGCUUAUAUAAUGUUGUGAUUAAACAAACCCUCUCUCUUAAUUGUUACCUGUUAGUUCAUAUAAGUAUUGCGAUAAAAACAAUGUGUCUUCUUCUUCUGAUUGGGUUAGAUUUAGGAGCUAGAUUUAGUACUAUCAGCCACACUGUUGGAUUUGGAAGGAAUUGUUUUAUCCUUGUUUUGAGCAUCUUGGAACUCUGGAGUAGAAACGACAUCCUCAGAGAUGCUAUCAGCUUUCCAUACAUAUCAAUCUACCUCAAGCUGCAGAAGUCUGGUAACUAGGUUAGUCUUGCCCAAAUUCUUUGCUUACCAUUUAUAAUCUAGGCACCAAGAACAAAUGUACAAGCCAGGGAGCUAUCACAAUGCUCUUCAUGCGCCUGGUUGAUCCAUUGAAGUUAAAUGUGCUUUACUUCAGUGUCGCUUGCAGCAGGAUUAUUUUGUACUCUGUGCUAACCUGAUUAAAUUCAUAACUCGGACUCAAUAGUUUCCUCCUAUUCUCUCAGCAAACCCUGAACAUAUUUUGACCAAGCUGUCACUUUAUUUGAUGUUUUGGUUCGAAUUUAAAUUCUGCUUUUCGCUGAGACUUUUAGUUCUUCACUGGAGAGGUUCUUUUUAUAUAAGCUUGAUUGUUGGUUGGUCUCCUUUGAUUUGCUCUAUAAUUGAAAAAAUAGGUCUGUACUUCUUCUGUUUUGGUCAAGAAUUUGAGAUGAUAUGUUGUGAAUUGUAGUUACAAUAGUAUAGUGCCUUCAACCUAUGUACAAUCAAUAUAUUUUAUUCCAUUCAGUAACUUGCAAUAAUCAUGCGAGCUCAGUGAAUAAAAUGAUAUAUGAUUUCCUUUUUACCCUUCCAGUUAUGUGAUAAUUUUUAGGUCUACAUGCACAUGCUAUCUCCAAUUCCACCAUGGUUAUCAUAUAAUUGAUCUAUACAUUUUUUGGUAAAAGGUGCCUAACUUUUGAGUUGAAAAGAAAGUAACCGAAAGAAAUAUAUUAGCUAAAAUCCAUGGAUUAUUGGAAGCUAUGCAGGGGCCACAGCCAGAUUUUGUACAAAAAGUGAUGUCUCUUAUGUUUCUCCAAGUACCCUCAUUUCCAUAAGCUAGGCACACUUGUACUAAAAUUUGAACAGAACAAAUUAGUUUGCCGCUAACUAAACUUUCCAGCUUGACGGUUGAAAAAAAAGAAGAAACUCCUAGUACAAUCACAAACUUUUUUCAACCUUUUGAUUUCUGCGACAGUGCUAAUCAUUAUGGCCCUAAAAGAUGCAACACGUAUUUUGAUAAAAACUAAAGGAUUCCACUUAACACCCAGAUGCCUUGAUCCAUGUUCUGCCUGGGUGCUAAACCACAGUUUGACCCUUAAGCUUCUCUCUAGUAGUGGCUGGAGAAUCUUGGCCAAAUAGGCUCCUCCAAGAAUAUGCAUGUUUUUGUAUGGAUGGGAUCUCAACUUCUUUGUCUGGGUUUCUAUGUCGUUGUAAGCUAUCUAGUUGGGAUAUAGGUAUAUAAUUUUCUACAAGCUUCUGCUAUGAGACUAGGAAGGUUGUGUUUGUCCAUGGGUCGUAGAUCUUUUUGUACUGUAGACGCGUUUUCAGUUGCAUGUCAUGUUUUUAUUAUGGUUAACUAUCUUGUUCUAUGGAGUCUUCAUGUAUAAACUUGAUGCAAUUAUUUGGUGUAACUGUUUCAAUCCUGGUUUUCAGAUUGCUUGGGAGGUGAAUAGGACCUAGUUUCCUUAGAAGGCAGGGGUGAUUCUACAAUAAGUUAUUCAGUUCCUUGCGCUUCUGUGUGUUGGUAAAACAUGCGUAUUUGUCUCGAAGAGAUCAAAAGUGUAUUUACUUUUUUUACUUGAUGUGAACAGAGGCUGGUCCAAGGUCUGCAUAAUUUUUUUGAUAAAGUUAACAAUGAGGAAUUCACGAAUCAAUCAGGGAGUUUCUUUUGGAGAUAAAGGAUAAUCAUUAUGAUGCUAGGACAUGUGCUGUCAGGUUGAAGGCUACGGUAUGGAACUAGCUAUCCUAAUUUAAUCUGUACUUUUUUGUUCGAAGUUCAAAUUUGCAUGGUUCUGUUCGGAUUUGAAGCAUGUGAAGAUCAUGGCAUCUGAAAACCACAAUUUUUAUGCGCCAUGCAUAAAAUACCAUUGUUUUUAUUCGAAAAGUUGCUUCAUACUCUAACCAGCUCUUAUUUCAGAAAUCUAUUGAAGCUAUAUAAAUUUAGUCUUGACUAUGCCUUUUAAUCUUUGGGCAUGUACUUCUAUUGUCGGCAGACUUACUUUAUGAAUAUGAGAGCUAUAUAAAACAGGAAGUUUGGGUUUGUGUGUUGCAAUAAUCAGACCUUAUGCAAUUCUACAGACCAUGCUAAACAUCAGUGAAGUACCAACAUUAAAUAAUUCUGAUGGAGAACUAAGAAGCUACUUUCAGGCACUGACAGAUCACUUCCGGUCAUUGCGCAUGUCAAGAAAAGCUUGGGGCUACAAUGCCGAGACUAACUUUUGUGUUUCUCGCCACUUGGGCCUGCAAUGUGAAGACUCGUAGACAAUGUUUAGAAUGUGACGCUCUAAGUUGAUUACUUACCACAAGUACGACGUCUUGCUGUAUGGAGUUUGUAGGCACCCAUGGUUGGUUGCUCUUUGACUAACAUGAAGCAUGUCCUUGUCUUGAGAUGAUAAGUCUGGAUCAGUUCAUGGGGUGGUAUUCUGAAAUGAUUUUGCUCCACGCUUUUAAAACAAACAAA
Molecule: RNA transcript, 4101 nt
Organism: Lolium rigidum
Lineage: Eukaryota; Viridiplantae; Streptophyta; Magnoliopsida; Poales; Poaceae
Exons: 2
Source: RefSeq, a predicted model, not a curated record